Ribosomal RNA from Carassius carassius (crucian carp), 120 nucleotides. Lineage: Eukaryota; Metazoa; Chordata; Actinopteri; Cypriniformes; Cyprinidae. The record is from RefSeq and is a predicted model, not a curated record.
GCUUACGGCCAUACCAACCUGGCUAUGCCUGAUCUCGUCUGAUCUCGGAAGCUAAGCAGGUUUGGGCUUGGUUAGUACUUGGGAUGGGAGACCGCCUGGGAAUACCAGGUGCUGAAAGCU